Musa acuminata subsp. malaccensis (wild Malaysian banana) is the source of this 438-nucleotide non-coding RNA. The record is from RefSeq and is a predicted model, not a curated record. Lineage: Eukaryota; Viridiplantae; Streptophyta; Magnoliopsida; Zingiberales; Musaceae.
GACUCUGGGUUCCGCGCAGGCAGGCCGUGAAGGGCAGCAAGCGUGUGAUUGCCUUCAUCGGCGACGGAAGCUUUCAGGUGACAGCGCAGGACGUGUCGACGAUGCUGCGCGGCGGGCAGAACAGCAUCAUCUUCCUCAUAAACAACGGCGGGUACACCAUCGAGGUGGAGAUCCACGACGGGCCUUAAAAUGUCAUCAAGAACUGGGACUACACCGGCCUGGUGGACGCCAUCCACGAAGGUGCGACACGAGGAGGAGUUGAAGGAGGCGAUCGAGACGGCGAUGGGGUGGAAGCGGGGCUGCCUACGCUUCAUCGAGGUCAUCGUGCACAAGGAUGACACCAGCAAAGAGUUGCUGGAGUGGGGCUCCGGAGUCUGCUCUGCCAACAGCAGGGCACCAAAUCCGCAGCAGAAGUCGUCGCACUCGAGUGGCAACAAU